CGCCUGUUUAUCAAAAACAUCGCCUCCUGCAAAAAACAACAUAUAGGAGGUCUUACCUGCCCAGUGACAAGUUAAACGGCCGCGGUAUUUUGACCGUGCGAAGGUAGCGCAAUCACUUGUCUUUUAAAUGAAGACCUGUAUGAAUGGUGGAACGAGGGCUUAACUGUCUCCCCUUUCAAGUCAAUGAAAUUGAUCUACCCGUGCAGAAGCGGGUAUAAAAAUACAAGACGAGAAGACCCUUUGGAGCUUAAGAUGCAAAAAUCAACUAUGUCAAGAACCAUACAAAUAAGUUAAACUAAAUAGUACCUGAUUCCAAUCUUCGGUUGGGGCGACCACGGGAGAAAACCAAGCUCCCAUGAGGACUGGGGUAAAACCCUAAAACUAAGAAAGACAUUUCCAAGUCACAGAACAUCUGACCAUAAAGAUCCGGACACACCGAUCAACGAACCAAGUUACCCUAGGGAUAACAGCGCAAUCCCCUUCCAGAGUCCAUAUCGACAGGGGGGUUUACGACCUCGAUGUUGGAUCAGGACAUCCUAAUGGUGCAGCCGCUAUUAAGGUUCGUUUGUUCAACGAUUAAAGUCCU
This 586-nucleotide ribosomal RNA is filed under the name Clupisoma garua. Its description in RNAcentral is "partial 16S ribosomal RNA". It matches the Rfam family "Bacterial large subunit ribosomal RNA", at positions 1797 to 2597 of the family's 2925-position model. Lineage: Eukaryota; Metazoa; Chordata; Actinopteri; Siluriformes; Ailiidae. The record is from RNAcentral.